GUCUGCCUGGCUUCCUAUUCACUUUGGGUGAUGCAUCAGAAAGAGCGCAAUGCCUCUGACACAGCCGCCUGCCUGGAGACAGACUCAGGCACUGGACAUGGACACAGAGGAUGACCCCUUGUUACAGGAUGCCUGGCUAGAUGAGGAAGAUGAAGAGGUAGCCUUCAGCUCCCGGAAGAGACGAGAGGGUGCUCUGUUGUGUGGGAAAAGCCCAUGCAAAGUCAGGCCCCUGCGUGUCACACUGCCGGUGUCUGGCUUCUGGAAUAUUGUUGGCUGGGUAUUUACCAACCCGUACUGUGCUGGCUUCAUCCUUUUCCUGGGCUGUGCCAUCCCUGCUGUUCUUGCUGUUGUCAUGUUCCUCCACUACCCAGCCCUGGAUAUUGACAUCUCCUACAAUGCUUUCGAGAUCCGCAACCACGAGUCCUCUCAGCGCUUUGAUGCACUUGCCUUGGCCCUCAAGUCCCAGUUUGGGUCAUGGGGGAGGAACCGCCGGGACCUGGCUGACUUUACCUCUGAAACCCUGCAGAGGCUUAUCUUUGAGCAGCUCCAGCAGCUUCACCUCAAUGCUUCCCAUCUUGGGGUCAGCACACGGCUCAAGCGCAGCACACCAGAGGGCAGGAUGAGCUCCCCCAAGCCCCAUGUCCACCUGAACCCAGGAAACCAGACUUCCCGAACUGGGAGGGGUGCCCCACGCUGGGACUACUCCAGCACUUAUAUCAGCACCAACACACAGACACAUGCCCACUGGCGCAUCGAGCUCAUUUUUCUGGCUCGGGGGGACUCUGAAAACAACAUCUUUACCACUGAGCGCCUGGUUACCAUCCAUGAGGUCGAGCGCAAGAUCAUGGACCACCCUCGCUUCCGGGAGUUCUGCUGGAAGCCCCAUGAGGUCUUGAAGGACCUGCCCCUGGGCUCCUACUCCUACUGCUCCCCUCCCAGCUCCCUCAUGACCUACUUCUUCCCCACUGAGAGAGGAGGGAAGAUUUACUAUGAUGGCAUGGGCCAAGACCUUGCUGACAUCCAAGGGUCUCUGGAGCUGGCCAUGACACACCCUGAAUUCUACUGGUAUGUGGAUGAGGGCUUGUCUGCUGAGAACAUGAAGAGCUCCCUGCUGCGGAGUGAAAUCCUCUUUGGGGCACCACUGCCGAACUACUACUCAGUGGAGGACCGCUGGGAGGAGCAGCGCCGCAAGUUCCAGAACUUUGUCAUCACCUAUGUGGCCAUGCUGGCCAAGCAGUCCACAAGCAAAGUCCAGGUGCUGUACGGAGGGACGGAUUUGUUUGACUAUGAAGUGAGGAGGACUUUCAACAAUGACAUGUUGCUGGCCUUCAUCAGCAGUAGCUGCAUAGCUGUCUUGGUCUACAUCCUUACCUCCUGCUCAGUGUUCCUGUCAUUCUUUGGCAUUGCCAGUAUUGGACUAAGCUGCCUGGUGGCUCUGUUCCUGUACCAUGUCGUAUUUGGGAUCCAGUACCUGGGUAUACUCAAUGGUGUGGCUGCCUUUGUCAUUGUGGGGAUUGGGGUUGAUGAUGUCUUUGUUUUCAUCAACACCUACCGCCAAGCCACCCACCUCAAGGACCUGCGACUGCGCAUGAUCCACACUAUCCAGACAGCAGGGAAGGCCACCUUCUUCACUUCCCUGACCACAGCUGCAGCAUAUGCUGCCAACAUCUUCUCUCAGAUCCCAGCCGUGCAUGACUUUGGACUCUUCAUGUCGCUGAUUGUGUCCUGCUGCUGGGUAGCUGUGCUCUUCACAAUGCCAGCUGCUCUUGGAAUAUGGACCCUUUAUGUGUCCCCACUAGAGACCUCCUGUCAAACCAGCUGUAGUCAGAAGUGCACCAAAAAGAGUGCCUUGCACCUGGCUGAAGAUCUCUUCAUUGCCUCGGAGGCCACCUCCAGAGCAGGCAGAGAGACGCUUCCCUAUCUUGAUGAUGACAUCCCACUGCUCAGUGUGGAGGAGGAGCCUGGCUCCCUGGAAAUGGGGGAUGUCCCCUUGGUAUCUGUGAUGCCAGAAAAUCUGCAGCUCCCUGCAGAGAAGAGCAACCGGGGUCAAUUGAUAACUCAUCUGCAGGAACUGCUGGAACACUGGGUGCUGUGGUCUGCAGUGAAGAGCAGAUGGGUGAUUGUGGGGCUCUUUCUCCUUGUUUUGCUCCUGUCCAUAUUCUUUGCUAGCCGCCUCCAUCCAGCUAGCCGUGCUCCAGUCUUGUUCCGGCCAGACACUAACAUCCAGGUGCUGCUAGACCUGAAAUACAAUCUGAGUGCUGAAGGCAUCUCCUGUAUUACCUGCUCAGGUUUGUUUCAGGAAAAGCCCCACAGUUUGCAGAACAACAUCCGAACCUCCUUGGAAAAAAAGAAGAGGGGCUCAGGGUCACCUUGGGGAAGCAAAGGGAGCAUAAGUGAUACAGGGCAACAAGAUCUCCAGGGGACUGUGUAUAUCUCCAAGUCCAGAAGCAAGGGAAGACCAGCCAUCUACAGAUUCUCACUGAAUGCCAGUGUCCCUGCCCCCUGGCAGAUGGUGUCACCGGGAGACGGGGAGGUGCCUUCAUUCCAGGUGUAUAGAGUGCCUUUCGGUAACUUCACCAGGAAGCUGACAGCUUGUGUGUCCACAGUAGGGCUGCUUAAGCAGACGAGCCCCAGGAAGUGGAUGAUGACCACCUUGUCCUGUGACACCAAGAGAGGCUGGAAGUUCGACUUCAGUUUCUACGUGGCCGCCAAGGAGCAACAGCGGACACGGAAACUGUAUUUUGCCCAGUCGCAUAAGCCCCCUUACCAUGGCCGAGUGUGUGUAGCACCUCCUGGCUGUCUUCUCAGCUCUAGCCCAGAUGGACCCACCAAAGGCAUCCUCUAUGUUCCCAGUGAGAAAGCACCCAAAGCAAAGCUGUCAGCCACUUCUGGAUUUAAUCCUUGCAUGAACACGGGCUGCGGGAAGCCAGCAGUGCGGCCACUGGUAGACACAGGAGCCAUGGUGUUUGUAGUGUUUGGUAUCAGAGGUGUUAAUCGCACAAGACGCCCGGACAACCACGUCAUCGGAGACAUGGGCAGCGUUAUCUAUGAUGACAGCUUCGACCUCUUCAAAGAGAUUGGCAACCUGUGCCGCCUCUGCAAAGCCAUAGCCAGCAACACCGAGCUAGUGAAGCCAGGAGGGGCUCAGUGCCUGCCCUCUGGUUACAGCAUCUCCUCCUUUCUGCAGAUGUUGCAUCCUGAGUGCAAGAACAUCCCUGAGCCAAACCUGCUGCCCGGACAGCUCUCUCAUGGAGCAGUGGGGGUGAAGGAUGGGAAGGUGCAGUGGAUCUCCAUGGCAUUUGAAUCGACAACCUACAAAGGGAAAUCUUCCUUCCAGACAUAUGCUGACUACCUGAAAUGGGAGACAUUCCUGCAGCAGCAACUCCAGCUCUUCCCAGAGGGCUCUGCUCUCCGGCACGGUUUCCAGACCUGUGAGCACUGGAAGCAGAUCUUCAUGGAGAUCAUAGGCAAGUGACCGCCCUGUUUCCCUCCCCGAGGAGCCCAUGCUCUCUGAUACAUCUUCACAGCACGCUCUGUCCCAUCUGAUGGGCACGUGUUACAUCUUCAGUCCCUUACCAUUGCUGUGCGAACUCCUAAAGCUUGUUUCUGCCCCAAGCAGCAUAUACUGUCAAAAUCCUAGGCAGACCCCAGGGAAAUAGAGAAAGGAAGGGACUCUGCCCUGCUGAUGUGAGAGGCAAGAAGUUGAUCAUCCACUCUUCACUUUCAUCCUCCCCUUCCCAUCUCCCCUCAGUGAGUCCCUGCCUGCCUUGUUGCCAACAGGGACACGGUGCCUUUCUCAUCCCAGCUGUUGCCUUCCAGGAGUCAAAUUAGCUGGCCCUUUUUCUUCCAGGAGUGCAGAGUGCCCUGUACGGUCUCGUCCUCUCGCUGGUUAUCUGUGUGGCUGCAGUGGCGGUGUUUACCACUCACAUCCUCCUCCUGCUGCCAGUGCUGCUCAGCAUUUUAGGGGUGGUCUGCUUGGUGGUGACAAUCAUGUACUGGUCUGGCUGGGAAAUGGGAGCUGUGGAAGCCAUUUCCCUCUCCAUCCUCGUUGGCUCUUCUGUUGAUUACUGCGUGCACUUGGUGGAGGGCUACCUGCUGGCGGGGGAAAGCCUGCCACUACACCAGGCAGAGAGCUUUCUGGAACCGCAAAGCUAAAAGAGGAGAAGGUGGGAAGGCCAUCUGAUCCCUUUCAAAACCCUUCUCUCUGCCCCUCCCCUCCCCUUGGCCAAGGUCAGCAUUGCAAUGAUAACUCUUGAGGUGAUGUCCUAUCCCCACGCCAAGCCUGUGCCUCAUUACCUGAGCCUUCAAAAACAGCAGUGAGCUGUUGGACAGGCGUGGGAAACAGCAUUUUCUGGAACCCUUUGCCCUGUACCCAAGCUAGACCAGCAGUGAACUUGCUGCACAAGAGCUGUUAUGGGUGUCAUUGUGGGAUCCAAACUAGACAUGCUGGGUGACACCACCUGCAGUGACCUGCUUUCGUCAUUUGUGGAGGGCAUCAGAACGCAUGGCUUUCCCCUUCUUUCUGAAGGGACAGUGCACCUUUUGCUGGGAUCACUUGGGUCUGUGAACAGCCAUCAGGAAGGCAAGCGGUGCCCUCAGCGACCUGCCCUCCUCUCCCUCAUCUCAGUAGUGAGGCCAAGGCAGUAUUGAUGCCCAGUCCCACCUCCUGCUCAGUGUGUGACCUCACCAGUCACUGACUCUGCUCUUCAUGGUGGAAAGAAAACAGCCUUGAGGGCCCUGCAGAGCCUUUUGGUCAUAGCAGUCAGCUCUUAGCCUGAGGACAAGCUAACCACUGGGGCCAGGUAGAGCCCAUACCUGGUGGCACGCACGGAUAAACAGUGGUGCAUCCUCUGUGGCACCUUAGAGACACCCUCAGUUGUGGAGACGUGAGGGCAGCGGAGCUUCAGCCUGUGGCUGCUGCCUGCUCAAAGCAGAUGGUUUAUAUUAAAGUAAAAUGAAAUCGCAAACUGGUGCCAUUAACAAGUACAUUUUAAGCAUCACUGAUUCUGUCAUACUUUUAAAAUUGAAAUAGCUAAGUGUGUGCAUUGAUAUGCAGCACAUCUGGUCCUCGGCAGAAGGGGAGGGGUCGUGCCCCCUGGGAGAUGCAUUAAAUGUUAUUUACAGGGAUGCCAAUACAGAGGGGUGGCCGGAAAGCAGCCUGCCUCCAUUUGUUUGCAGAUACCAUGUCGCUGGUGGCUUUGUGUUCUCUGUCUGGAUUGACCCCCUUUUUAAGAUGGAAAUUCCAGGAAGCACAUCCGCAUUGCCAGCCAAGUUCUGGGCACUGUGCUGCUGAGACAGACCAGCAGCUGCUUCUGCGUGGCUCAGUGUAUCCGUGCUCUGAUCCCUGCCAGUCUUACACCUUCACAUCAUGUCAUCCCUGUGAAAUCAGAUCAAAUGUUUGUUCCUCAACUAGGUUCCCCAAGGCGUCAGCUGGUGAGAGGAAUGCCAGGACAGGACUCAUGCUGAUGCCAGGGGCAAUCCAGAGCAGUCCUGCUGCAGGCAGUGAGGGUGGUGAGAGCCUGAGCAGACCUGGUUUCUUCCUUGUCAUCCCAUGGUGCAGCCUAGUUACCUCUUUCUGCAAACUGUUAAAUGUUCCUUGCACCUAUCUCUGAUCUGCACCAGUCCCUUCAUAAUGAACCCUGUGCCCAUGAAUAAAUGGUUCUGGAAAGGAUUUUUUACUAUCCUUAAGCUGUGCUGCUUUGAUGACUGCUGUGCACAGUUCAGCCCCAACAUUGAUCUGUAAGCCAUGCUUUUUUCCCUAUGUCUGUUCUCCAAAUUUAAUUACUAGUGGUGCCCUGAGCACUCCUAAGUGGCAGUGAGCAUAGAGGGCAGUGUGCUGAUGAUGUACAGCCCCAUGAGACCUGUGUGGGUGCUGCAGGGGAGAGCAAGGGAGCCCUAGCGCUGCUGCAGUGGAUGCUCUGGCUGGUGGCUUGACCUGAAUUUAGCUAAUGCUUCAAGCUCCUUGGGGUCUUUAAAGCUGAUGGAUAUUCGCAAGGUCACCAGACAAGAGAAUAAGGUGCUGAGUCCACCCUUAGAGGAAGUUCCUCCUUCUAUGAGCAUGAAGAAACCUUGAAAGGUCCUUAAGACAAGGCAUAGAUGUGCUUUGAAUCCUGCCUAAUUUAAAGCUCAUUUAAGCCCCUGGUGUCCUAUGUUUGUGCUCACUAUAAAGAGGCUCUGUAAGCCCCCCACCUCCAGAGUGAUUCUGGACACACCAUGCUGGGACCAUUCAUUCAGCCACUCUUGGAAGGCAAAGAUUAAUUUCAAAGUAGUGGAAAACCUUUUAUGUCUCUUGGGUCUGAUCUGGCAGCAUCUGAUCUGCAGACAAAAAUAACAGAUUUCUUGGCACCUGACAGGAUUUCACCUGUUUUCUGGAGCAGGCAGGGGAAAGGACAAGUUAUCAUUUUUCCCUUCUCUUCUCUGGCUAGCCCAGGCUCGCUUAGUGCAGAAGGGCUGGCUGGCACUAGCUGGAGCAGGACUUCACCUUGACCUUGUUUGUCCAAGGUGGUACUUGGACAAAGGAGAGCAAUGGCUGGAGUGAUUCAGAAAGAAUGAGAGACUGAGAUAGGUGCAGAGCUGUAGCAGAUGAUUCACAAAGGCGUACUGAGGAAAUUGUACCCCUCCAGCAAGGAAACUGAGGCAAGGAGAAGAGGAGGAACUUACUCCAGAUUAUAGUAGGAUGGCAGAAGAGCCAGGAGAUGAUCGUAGGUGAUGCUUUUCACUGCAAGGACCUGCUGGAUGUUGGUAACCUGAAAAAUUGAUUAAACAUAGUCAUGACACUGGUCUUAAGAUCUAACUAGACACUUGCCCCAUCACCAUUUCACUCUGCACAGGUCUAUGUUGAGGGUGGCUGGUGCUUUCUCCAUGUGCAGUGGAGUGAAAGAGGUUUAGAGGUGGGGCCCAGCCUUCCCCAAAAUGUUUGCAACACCCUGAUCUCCCCAAGUGUUUGUGGAGACAAUAAAUCGGUAGCAGAUGUGUACAUUCAUCUCCAUGUAGGCAGUGUCUUCCUUGGGAUUAGAAAAUAUUCAUAAAAUUAUAGAGGUAAGAAAACGGAUGGGUUUAUCUGAGCAAAUGUGAAGGUGGGGCUGACAGCCCUGCUGGGAAUCGGUGCUCUGAGGCAGAUGCUCGUAGCAAUAAAAAGCAAGGCCUCACCUGUCUGGCGCUGUUCCGGGAGCAGAUGCUUGCCCUAAAUUAAUUCCUCCCACAUCUCUACCUAUCUUCUUUCUCUGAUGACUCCUCUGUUUCCCAGACCAUCUCUUGGGCCCUGUCGUCUUGCUGAGCAAGGUUCAGCCUUCUCUGUGGUAGCUGCUCGUGCCCAAGGUGCUCACAGAGUCUGGACUGAAAGUGGCUAGAGCUUGUCUCGGGGAGAAUUUCUCAAGCAGAGGAAGCUAGGGAGUUAAAAUGCUUCAUAUGAAGCUGUCAGUUUUCAUGUUUUUAAACAGUAGAACACAGCAGACCAGCCUUACUUGGAAGAGAAUGCUCUGAUUUUCCAUUUCAAAACAAUUUUGCUGCAAUUAAAAAGAAACGUACACGAGUUCCCAGUUACAGCACACUGCAAUGGAAUAUUUUUGUUAACUGGCCACUCCUUUAUUUCUAGUAAAUCUUGUUUUGGGGGUUACAUUCUGAAAAGUUGAUGUUAAUGUUUCAGGAUGGGGCUCAUUCUGAAACUGUGCAGUCUCCUACAAAUUGGAGCGGGUGCUGUCCUCACCAGAAGCUCUGUCCCUGCCAGCCCAGGGCAGUUGCAGAAGAGCACUGCUCCGCAGUGUUGAAGCACUGUGAUAUAUGCACAGAGCUGGUGUUGCUGCUCAUUGCCUUCAGUGGAGCUGCUAAGUGAGUUCAAGGCUCCCCGUGGCUGUGGACACUCAGGGAGAGAGUCCCUGCUCGCAACAGCCCUGUCAAAACCAGCUUUGGAGCGAGGAGGAACAGAGUUGAUGUGAUUUGCAAAGAUCAGUGUCAGAGAAAGGAAUAGACCCAGGUCUCCUUGCUUGCUUUGUUUCCUUAUGUUGUGGUGCCUCUUGAGGUGCUGGGUUCACGCGGGGUCUGUACAGGCAACUGGGGCAUCAGGUUUGGACACUGACCUCAGCAAUUCCAAAGGCUGCAGAUACUGAAAGGGGAUCAGUGGCUGAGUUGGGCUGUGUUUCUCAAUCCCUGUUGGAUCUGAAACUAUGCCAGAGCAAAGGCAGCCUGAGAAAUAUCUCCAAGGAGGAGGACGUGUGGCAUGCUUACAGAGUUACUGGGACCACUGAUAACGGUAGUCUGGAUGCAGUGGUCUCUGGAGACCCCGGGCUUUGUCUCCGCUGGAACGAACUGGGAUGUUGCUUUAUGUCAUGGCAUCUAAUUCUUUUAGCUUGUCCUGCACUGAAUUUUAUUACCAGAGCAGCCUGCCCUCCUGGAAGGUUAUAAAAGGCUUUUUAUUUAACCCUGUGACAUGUAUAAAUCCUCCCACACUGUCCACAAAGGAAGCUGUGCAGAUUGAUUUGCAGCCAGGCAGGACAAAUUCUCAGUCUCUUGGUUACUUCUUCCGAAAUCACUCCUCACCCCAGAUAGCACACAAGCCAUAGUUCACAGGUUUUUCAAAGGCCUCUGCUAACUGCUCUGCCCUGGCUCAGUACCCACAGUCCUGGAGCUAAAAGUCUUUUAAGGCCUGUCUCCAUCCUGAGGAUGUUGUUUGGUUGUUCGGCUUUCUCCCCUCCACUCCUCCUUCAGGCAGUUGCUGGAGGGGACAGGAGGGUGAUGGCCAGGACCAGAGGCAGAGCAACAAGCAGAUGAGUAGAAAGGUUUGCAGGGGGAAGCAGAAGAGAACAAAUGGGAGGGAGGAUGGUUCAAAAGCCAAGGGGAGAAAGAGGUGUGAGCACCCCAAGGACAGAGGGAGGGAGGGCGCUGCCGUUUCACCACGUCAUGUGCAGACCUUAGAGUGUCGGUUCUCAGAGUGAUGUAGCACAAUUCCUGAUGUAACGUACGCGUGUUACUUUUGUAAGUCGUCUCCUACCCUCACUAUUUUCAGUGUUUCUUGAUUUUUGGAGACUGUUGUAAAUAAAAGAUUUUGACAUUCGCA
Molecule: RNA transcript, 9052 nt
Organism: Harpia harpyja (harpy eagle)
Lineage: Eukaryota; Metazoa; Chordata; Aves; Accipitriformes; Accipitridae
Gene: DISP3
Gene name: dispatched RND transporter family member 3
Exons: 20
Source: RefSeq, a predicted model, not a curated record